RNAcentral lists this ribosomal RNA (253 nucleotides) under uncultured bacterium. RNAcentral describes it as "partial 16S ribosomal RNA". It matches the Rfam family "Bacterial small subunit ribosomal RNA", at positions 524 to 776 of the family's 1533-position model. The record is from RNAcentral.
UACGGAGGGUGCGAGCGUUGUCCGGAAUCACUGGGCGGAAAGGGCGCGUAGGUGGCCCGUUAAGUGGCUGGUGAAAUCCCGCGGCUCAACUGCGGGGCUGCCGGUCAUACUGGCGAGCUAGAGCACGGUAGGGGCAGAUGGAAUUCCCGGUGUAGCGGUGGAAUGCGUAGAGAUCGGGAAGAAUACCAGUGGCGAAGGCGUUCUGCUGGGCCGUUGCUGACACUGAGGCGCGACAGCGUGGGGAGCAAACAGG